GGUUGAGAUGUUAUUGAAUUCAGCUGGCUCCUGGUUGGAUGGGUGAAAAAGGGUGUGGGAGGUGGGGUUGGUCUUUUUUCUGCCAGUGUAGGGAGGGUUGUUGCUUUAGAAGGAAGAUCUAUGGCAUCCAAUAAUGCAAUGGCUGGAAGACAAGGAAGUGGCAGAGUAGCUGGGCGGAUGCACUGGAUAUUGGUAAUAAUUCUGAUGCUGGGAGGUCACCAGAUCAGUGGGCAAGGACAAGUAUGGAGCAGUAAAAGAGAUGUGUGGAUUUUUUCAGUUACUUUAAUAGCUUGAAUUGAAGCUAGAACAAUGGCAGAGCAGAGUGCUCUCCUACAAGUCUGACAGAAGAGUGCCCCACUUCUGACAGAAUGUCUUCUCAUUAUUGCUUCAGAUGAUCACUCCUAGUGAGGCUCCUCAAAUCUAUUUUUGUUCUUCCUCAAG
Hirundo rustica (Barn swallow) is the source of this 441-nucleotide long non-coding RNA. RefSeq lists it as uncharacterized. The record is from RefSeq and is a predicted model, not a curated record. Lineage: Eukaryota; Metazoa; Chordata; Aves; Passeriformes; Hirundinidae. The transcript is spliced from 4 exons.